CCUACGGGGGGCAGCAGUCGAGAAUCAUUCACAAUGGGGGAAACCCUGAUGGGGCGACGCCGCGUGGGGGAAUGAAGGUCUGCGGAUUGUAAACCCCUGUCAUGUGGGAGCAAAUUAAAAAGAUAGUACCACAAGAGGAAGAGACGGCUAACUCUGUGCCAGCAGCCGCGGUAAUACAGAGGUCUCAAGCGUUGUUCGGAAUCACUGGGCGUAAAGCGUGCGUAGGCUGUUUCGUAAGUCGUGUGUGAAAGGCGCGGGCCCAACCCGCGGACGGCACAUGAUACUGCGAGACUAGAGUAAUGGAGGGGGAACCGGAAUUCUCGGUGUAGCAGUGAAAUGCGUAGAUAUCGAGAGGAACACUCGUGGCGAAGGCGGGUUCCUGGACAUUAACUGACGCUGAGGCACGAAGGCCAGGGGAGCGAAAGGGAUUAGAUACCCCUGUAGUC
RNAcentral lists this ribosomal RNA (446 nucleotides) under uncultured bacterium. RNAcentral's name for it is "partial 16S ribosomal RNA". It matches the Rfam family "Bacterial small subunit ribosomal RNA", at positions 338 to 795 of the family's 1533-position model. The record is from RNAcentral.